RNAcentral lists this RNase P RNA (352 nucleotides) under uncultured Parabacteroides sp. RNAcentral's name for it is "Bacterial RNase P class A". It matches the Rfam family "Bacterial RNase P class A". Rfam says of the family: Ribonuclease P (RNase P) is a ubiquitous endoribonuclease, found in archaea, bacteria and eukarya as well as chloroplasts and mitochondria. The record is from RNAcentral. Lineage: Bacteria; Pseudomonadati; Bacteroidota; Bacteroidia; Bacteroidales; Tannerellaceae.
GCCGGUCUGCCGCUCGCUCAUUGGGCGUGAGGAAAGUCCGGGCAACGCAGAGCACCAUACUUCCUAACGGGAAGCUGUCCGUAAGGGUGGAGUAGCGUAACAGAGAAUGACCGCCGGUCUUUGCCGGUAAGGGUGAAAAGGCGAGGUAAGAGCUCACCGGUUUCUUAGUGAUAGGAGAUGCUGUACGCCUUAUGGGUUGUAAGGUCAUGUAUAUCGGCGUAGUAGGGCGGCUCGUCCGAUGCCGAGGGGUAGACCGCUAAAGCUUGCCGGCAACGGUAAGACAAGAUAAAUGGCAGACACUUUCUUUUCCGAAAGGAGAGUAAGUACAGGACCCGGCUUACAGGUAGGCUGC